UACGUAGGUGGCAAGCGUUGUCCGGAUUUACUGGGCGUAAAGAGCGCGCAGGCGGCUGGUCAAGUCCGAUGUGAAAUCUCCCGGCUCAACUGGGAAACUGCAUCGGAAACUGAUCGGCUUGAGGGUGGGAGAGGGUAGUGGAAUUCCCGGUGUAGUGGUGAAAUGCGUAGAUAUCGGGAGGAACACCAGUGGCGAAGGCGACUACCUGGCCCAUUCUUGACGCUGAGGCGCGAAAGCUAGGGGAGCGAACGGG
RNAcentral lists this ribosomal RNA (253 nucleotides) under uncultured bacterium. Its description in RNAcentral is "partial 16S ribosomal RNA". It matches the Rfam family "Bacterial small subunit ribosomal RNA", at positions 524 to 776 of the family's 1533-position model. The record is from RNAcentral.